This 2433-nucleotide long non-coding RNA is filed under the name Marmota monax (woodchuck). Lineage: Eukaryota; Metazoa; Chordata; Mammalia; Rodentia; Sciuridae. The record is from RNAcentral.
GACCACUUAGCCCAGGGACCCUGAUGGAAUCACUAAGCCUCAGCAUAUGGGCAGGAGGUGACUCUACGUUAGUUGGUUUUAUCUUCUGUGGUCUUUCUUUUCCAACAUUUAUAAGGAGGCUUGCCCCAAGGUACUGCUUGCUGAGAAGUGGCAAGAAGGUUACUGAAAAUGGAAUUCAAGAGUAGAAAUCAAGAGGUGUGGAAACUCACAUUUUAAGUUGGAAGAAAAAGACCAAGUGUAGAAAAGAUCAAAAACUUGUCUUAGUCUUAGAAAAUCUGACCUGAUUUCCUAGUGGUUCCCACUCUGUGAAAGCAGAGGAAUACAUGGAAAUAAGGCACCUGCACUCUGCUGUUUCAUUAGUUAAUCUUCCAUUUAGAUUUCAAGUAAUUGACAUCUUAAGAUUCCAUGCAGCUAAAGGAUUCUCUGACUCCCAGCGUGAACUGUGUUGGAGAGGAGAGGGCGCCUAUGAGUUCCCUGUGGUGGAGUCAUUUCAUUUGUGCGUCAAGGGCUUCCAGAAAGAGGAUCACAGGCCCCUUCAUUAGGAAAGGAGUGACACAGGUGACAUUAGCUUACACUGAAACAGUGAGAUCAUGCCUCUGGAGCUUACCAACAAGAGAUGCCUGGGUGCCACUCUUCUGUGGCAGCUGAAGUGAAGACUAGGGACCCACUUCCAUCCUAUGGAUCAAUCUAAUUUGUGAAAAAUAUUAAAUGAAGUUUCUGAAAAAUACAUUCAGUGAUAUAUCUCUAUAUCUAUCUAUCUAUCUAUCUAUCUAUCUAUCUAUCUAUCUACCUACCUACCUAUCUAUCUAAUCAAGUAGGGCUAAUUCUAGUGGUGCAAAAAUAGUUUAAGAUAAAAAUAAACGUAUGGGAUGCAUAUUAAUAGAUUAAGGUAGUAAUUUAUUAAUAUGUAUUGAGGGAUGUUUGACCUUACUAGUGUUGAGAGAAAUGCAAAAACCAUAAAGAUCAUUUCAUAUUCAUCAGUUGACAAAAGUGUAGGGAAGUAGGAAGUCUCAGCUAUGUCACUACAGAAUCACCGUGGAGAGCAUUUUCAAAAUCUAACACAGUCGUGGAAUGCAAACACUUUCAACUCAAUCAUUCCCACCAGGGUAAGAAAUCAGAGACUCUCUACUCAAUGGAGCCAUGUAGAAGACUGCUUUCUGAGGCAUCCAGUUUAUAAUGGGAAAUUUAAAAAGCAUAAAUGUCCAUCAACAGAAGAAUGGAUAAAUAUUUUGUGGAGUAUUUAUACACUGGACCAUUGCAAGUAGUUUAAAGGAUGAAUUACGGUUAUACUCACCAUCAAGAAUAAAUCUUGGUAACUUAAUGCAGAAUGAAAACAGUCAAGUUAUAGAAUUAUUUGUUUAACAUGAUAGAUAAUUUCUCUCAGGGGAUAAGUGCAUCCACCUUUGCUUUUCCCUCUCAGUUUAAAGUUAUUUGAGAUGUAAAUACAAAAGAUGAACAGAUGGUGGGAGAAAUAAAUUCCAGUCAAAGUUGGAUUGAAAGAUUUAAUAACAUUUCCAAAAAUAUAAACAGAUGACAUCAUUCUUCUGCUCACAAACCUCCAGUGGACUUCGGUUUCACUGACCAUCAAGUCCAAAGUCUUUCUGAUGGCUUCCAGGACCUCCCGGCCCCAGUGCUCAUCCUCUUCCCGUGGCCCCUUUUCUGCUCGGCCCCUCUGCCCGCCUCCCUCCCAGGCUCUUUUCUACCUUGUAAUGUGGCAGAUGAAGAAAUCAUACUAGAAUAAAAAGAAAUGUUGGCUCAGUAGUUUAUUCAAUUGGUGAAUUCAACAAAUAUAUAUUCAGUGCUGCUGUGUCCCAGAACGUAAGCUCCACGAGGGCAGGGCCACGGGUCCCUUGCUGUUUGUCAUAUUCCCAUCUCCAGCAGAAAUCUCUGGCACAAGGAAGAUGCUGACUUGGUAUUUAUCGCGCCAACGAAAGGACGAGCUGGACACAUGGUAGGUGCUGGGUGUGCUCUGCGAGCUGUGUCCCUGCUUCUCCAUUGAUGCUGAGCUGCUCUUCCUGCAACGACUUUGCUGUCUCUGGAAGCUCCUCCGUCUGCACCAAAGCCCCCACGGGUCUUCCCUUUGUUCUUCAGCAUGUGGUCCAGUGCUGGGUGGGGUUGCUCAGCCCCAGCUGGAAGUCAGCCUCGGUUGCUGGGUCCUUCUUCUGCACAGGGGUGGAAAGGGGACUCUGACCAUAUCUCCCCCUCCACUGAGCUGCCCGGUAGUGCCACUCUGCAGUGCUUGGUGUUCUUUUGCUCUGCUGGACCCUUUCCUGAUAGUAUUGUUGAGAAACGAUUUUGUAUUUGUGGGGAAAACAACAACAACAACAAAACAACCACAUUGCAAUCCCACAUUUCAAAUACAUAGCCCAAUCAGGGAUCAUACAUUAGCAUAUAUUUUGAAAUCAUGGUCCAUUUAAGGUUGGUGUGGAAGCU